RNAcentral lists this ribosomal RNA (243 nucleotides) under uncultured bacterium. Its description in RNAcentral is "partial 16S ribosomal RNA". It matches the Rfam family "Bacterial small subunit ribosomal RNA", at positions 118 to 352 of the family's 1533-position model. The record is from RNAcentral.
UGAGGAACAUGACCUUCGGCGGGGGAUAGCCGGCCCAACGGCCGGGUAAUACCGCGUACGACCUUUCGGGGACAUCCCCGGAUGGUGAAAGCAGCAAUGCGCCGAUGGAGUGCCUCGCGGCCUAUCAGCUAGUUGGUGAGGUAACGGCUCACCAAGGCGACGACGGGUAGCUGGUCUGAGAGGAUGGCCAGCCACAGUUGGGACUGAGACCACGGCCCAGACCUCCCGUACGGGGAGGNAGCG